Bombus huntii is the source of this 2344-nucleotide long non-coding RNA. RefSeq lists it as uncharacterized. The record is from RefSeq and is a predicted model, not a curated record. The transcript has 2 exons. Lineage: Eukaryota; Metazoa; Arthropoda; Insecta; Hymenoptera; Apidae.
GCGAUCUCGCGAGGCUACGAAGAUUAAUCGAUCCACCGCGACGUUGAGCAAAUUUUCAAGAUGCGUUAAAGACGCAUUUUUUGACAUCGACCAUUUUAACUACCACCUUCAAAUUUCAUGAAUGAAAUUAUUAGCCCCCGAGUGUUGAUCUCUGCUUACUUUUUCACUCUCGAUGACUCAGGCACGCGAAGCUUUUGAAAAGUUCUAAUAUUAAACCAGGCAAACUGGUUCUAUGUCAACCAGAGAAUUCUUGGCUUCGAGCUCCGCGAGUUCAGUUUGAAAAUUCUUGGAAAAAAUAUGACGGGCAAUGUGUGUGUGACAUGUUUCUGAAUGAAGGAAGUAAGCUAAGUUUCGUGAAUGAUGAAGAAGAUAUGUAGAUUAAUGUGGAAGAAGACUUUGAAGAAGAAGAUCUUUUCGUGACAAUCUUCGUUUACAAGGAAAUCUACUUUGAGAAUCGUUAGGUACCUAUGCCAACAGCUGGCAGAGAAACUGAGUUCUUCGUGUGCCUUUAUUCGGAAACGGGUAAAUAUUCUACUCCAAUCCCUCCCUAAACCUCAAAGAAGCGAAGAGCCAAUCCAAUAAAGAAUUCACGAUCACUGGCCAGACGAGGCAACAAAUUUUCUAAUAAACUGGUAAAGAACUAAAUAUUCAACGAAAGAGGAACAAAAUAGAUACAUCGAGAGCCCUGAAACUUCCCAUCGUCCAUUCGUGUCAACCUCAUGGAAUCGUAAAAUAGUCUUGUGGCGUCGACAUCCGGAACAUCGACUUCCUACUCUGGCUGAACUCUUUUGACGAGGAAAUCCCCCGGGUGUAGAAAGUUCCUUGCCUCGGGUUCUUUCGUUCGUUCAACGGCUAGUUCGUCAGACUAAACGAAGCCCGCGGCUACGUGAAAAAGCAGCCACGAUCACAGAUCUCCGCGCUUCCCGAAUAGGAACGACCAGGUCGACGCUUCUCCAGGAAGAAGACGCCUUUUCCGGGCACACAAGCCCGCGAAAUUAGACGAUGAAUCUUCUAUGAGCGGGGUUUCCCGGACUCAACUCAUCCCGCGUUUUUCCAUGGACAUCCUCCCAGUCAUCUUUCACGCAAAACCGAAGAAGAAAAGGCGCAAGAGGAAGUGGAAAAGGGGUGAAGGCGAUUAUGUACUAACAUCUCGAUUAUGGGGGUUGCGACGUAGGCUGCUGAUGAAAGUAAGGCUGAAGAUGCACUUGACAAAAUAUAUUUCAUAACGCAAUUCUAUAUAUAAAAUAAUAGCACAAACGCAAAUUCUAUAAUUUCGACGAAAUUUCACAGCGCAAAGUCUUACGAUGAAACAUCUUACAGCGCGAUAUUUCAUAAUAGAAAGCCCGUAUUAUUGAAAAUUUAUCCACGUUGGCAAAAUCUACAUUUCCAAAUUCGACAUUUUCCUAAAUUCUACUGUGGGAGGUUCUACAAUACUUGUUCAAUUUUGGAUGAAAAAUUCGAAUUCUUUCCAUGUGCAUUUUGCGGUCACUGUUCACGAAAAACUGAAGAAGAGAAGAUGCGAGAGCAAGUGGAUGCAGGUUGAAGGGCGCUGAUUACGAGCACCUCUAUUACGCGGGUUGUGAUCUAGGUUGCUGAGGCUGAAGAUGCAUUUCCGCGUGAGAGAAAACGCAGAGCUGCGUUGACCUUUAAAUGUUGCGGUUAUUAAUACGAUGCUUCCAUCGAUGCUUAUUGACAGCUUGCUGGAGGCUAUUAUCUGUGGAGGCAGAUAAGAGAAGCUUCUGCGCUAAACAUGAAGUCACUUUUGUGAGAAUCAGUGAAUUAUUACGCGUUGAAUGCAGAAAUGUAACUAAUAGUAAGACCACAGCUGAUAUUAAUUUCUGAAGAUGAUAAUUAGGUACGGAUGAAGUACAAUAGAAAAAUCUUGGGGUAAUUUCUUUAAGGUUUUAUAUAAUGAUAAGUACAAACAUGCAGUAUAUUUAAAGUAAAUAUUUAUAAAAGGAAAAGAAGAAAUGCAACAUUACUCAUCAAAUUAGCUUUAGGUAUUUUUCAAGAGUUUUCUAAGUGUCCCAAGAAUUUUGUAAUUCCUUUGUUGGAAUACUUUAAUGAGGGAUGUGAUUUUUAUGAAGUUUUGUUGGUACAUGGAGGUGAUCGAGUUUGAAUUUGAUGCAUUAACUACACGUGACAAUAUACAGUCUUCAAGGUAACAGAUUGAUGGUUAGAGUCGUGACCUAGUUAUAGGCAUACCUGAUCCCCUGUUGUGGUUGGCCAAAAUCGAUGGUUAUUAUGUGGCUUCUUUAUGAGGAACCACGAGCUUCAACUCAAAUACCAAUUCAUUGUCUUUGAUAUCUGUAGUAUUCAAAGUGUAAUAAAUGUUGCUAGACAA